RNAcentral lists this long non-coding RNA (260 nucleotides) under Homo sapiens (human). Its description in RNAcentral is "HSALNT0102561". The record is from RNAcentral. Lineage: Eukaryota; Metazoa; Chordata; Mammalia; Primates; Hominidae.
CUAAGAUAAAUGAUAUGAGACUAGCCACUCCACUCAGGGGAAAUCACUCAUCCCAACCAUGGAGAUGGUCUUCAGAUAGAAAGACACACGUAUUUCCAAAUGUCUGUCCUAUUCUGUCUUAAAUUAUGUCAUUCACAUGAUGCCAAUAGUUCAAUGUAUUUUGUGCUACAUUAAGUCCUGUGCAGUUUUUUGUCAAAAUUUCCCUCUAAGGUGAGAUCAAAAAGAAAUAAAGUCCUGGAACCAGGCCUGAGUGAAGAGUG